This 1147-nucleotide ribosomal RNA is filed under the name Enterobacter hormaechei. Its description in RNAcentral is "partial 23S ribosomal RNA". It matches the Rfam family "Bacterial large subunit ribosomal RNA", at positions 1 to 1191 of the family's 2925-position model. The record is from RNAcentral. Lineage: Bacteria; Pseudomonadati; Pseudomonadota; Gammaproteobacteria; Enterobacterales; Enterobacteriaceae.
GGUUAAGCGACUAAGCGUACACGGUGGAUGCCCUGGCAGUCAGAGGCGAUGAAGGACGUGCUAAUCUGCGAAAAGCGUCGGCGAGGUGAUAUGAACCCUUGACCCGGCGAUGUCCGAAUGGGGAAACCCAGUGCAAUCCGUUGCACUAUCGUUAACUGAAUACAUAGGUUAACGAGGCGAACCGGGGGAACUGAAACAUCUAAGUACCCCGAGGAAAAGAAAUCAACCGAGAUUCCCCCAGUAGCGGCGAGCGAACGGGGAGCAGCCCGGAGUCUGAAUCAGCUUGUGUGUUAGUGGAACGGUCUGGAAAGUCCGACGGUACAGGGUGAUAGUCCCGUACACGAAAGCACACUUGCUGUGAACUCGAAGAGUAGGGCGGGACACGUGGUAUCCUGUCUGAAUAUGGGGGGACCAUCCUCCAAGGCUAAAUACUCCUGACUGACCGAUAGUGAACCAGUACCGUGAGGGAAAGGCGAAAAGAACCCCGGCGAGGGGAGUGAAAAAGAACCUGAAACCGUGUACGUACAAGCAGUGGGAGCCUCUUUAUGGGGUGACUGCGUACCUUUUGUAUAAUGGGUCAGCGACUUAUAUUCUGUAGCAAGGUUAACCGUAUAGGGGAGCCGAAGGGAAACCGAGUCUUAACUGGGCGUUAAGUUGCAGGGUAUAGACCCGAAACCCGGUGAUCUAGCCAUGGGCAGGUUGAAGGUUGGGUAACACUAACUGGAGGACCGAACCGACUAAUGUUGAAAAAUUAGCGGAUGACCUGUGGCUGGGGGUGAAAGGCCAAUCAAACCGGGAGAUAGCUGGUUCUCCCCGAAAGCUAUUUAGGUAGCGCCUCGUGAACUCAUCUUCGGGGGUAGAGCACUGUUUCGGCUAGGGGGCCAUCCCGGCUUACCAACCCGAUGCAAACUACGAAUACCGAAGAAUGUUAUCACGGGAGACACACGGCGGGUGCUAACGUCCGUCGUGAAGAGGGAAACAACCCAGACCGCCAGCUAAGGUCCCAAAGUCAUGGUUAAGUGGGAAACGAUGUGGGAAGGCACAGACAGCCAGGAUGUUGGCUUAGAAGCAGCCAUCAUUUAAAGAAAGCGUAAUAGCUCACUGGUCGAGUCGGCCUGCGCGGAAGAUGUAACGGGGCUAAACCAUG